Molecule: ribosomal RNA, 498 nt
Filed under: uncultured bacterium
Lineage: Bacteria
Description: partial 16S ribosomal RNA
Rfam family: Bacterial small subunit ribosomal RNA
Source: RNAcentral
AUUGAACGCUGGCGGCAUGCCUUACACAUGCAAGUCGAACGGUAACAGGUCUUCAGAUGCUGACGAGUGGCGAACGGGUGAGUAAUACAUCGGAACGUGCCUAGUAGUGGGGGAUAACUACUCGAAAGAGUGGCUAAUACCGCAUGAGAUCUACGGAUGAAAGCAGGGGAUAGCAAGACCUUGUGCUACUAGAGCGGCCGAUGGCAGAUUAGGUAGUUGGUGGGAUAAAAGCUUACCAAGCCGACGAUCUGUAGCUGGUCUGAGAGGACGAUCAGCCACACUGGGACUGAGACACGGCCCAGAGUCCUACGUGAGGCAGCAGUGGGGAAUUUUGGACAAUGGGCGAAAGCCUGAUCCAGCAAUGCCGCGUGCAGGAUGAAGGCCUUCGGGUUGUAAACUGCUUUUGUACGGAACGAAAAGCCCUGGGUUAAUACCCUGGGGUCAUGACGGUACCGUAAGAAUAAGCACCGGCUAACUACGUGCCAGCCGCCGCGGUAA